UGAGCCUUAGAGCAGAAGCCUCCUUGACCAACAGACUAUGCAGAUGUGCUAGAAAGCACGUUCUCUCUUCAAUGUACAAGAUCUUCGCUAUUGAGUUCCUGGGCUUCCUGCUUACCUGUUGCUGAAGACCAUUCUGUUCAACAGAGCCAGAGCUGCCAACCAGGCAGAGGUCUGUUGAUCGAACUCUUCAUCCUGCUUGCUUGGACGAUGGCUCUAGCUGCACUCCAAGGCUCCCGGCUCCGUUCUUCUGGGCUGCUAUCCUUCAUCAGGUCCACAAACAGCAACCUUCGUCUUAUCCACAGCAAGCCAGCCAAGGGCAAAGUAGGACCCCUGGAAACCGUCAUCGGUUUAACAGUGUUUUCAUUGGCUAUUCUUGGACCAACUGGAUGGUUCCUGAGCCAUAUUUCAAGCUAUAGAAUGAGGUAGAAGACAUUCUUCUGCGUCCGAGAUGCAUCAGAUUCAGAUCUGCUAUCAACGGACCUGGAAAAUAAAGUCACCUUGAAGUCCUACCAGCUAAAAA
This is a non-coding RNA of Podarcis muralis (Common wall lizard), 520 nucleotides long. The record is from RefSeq and is a predicted model, not a curated record. NCBI's taxonomy places the organism in Eukaryota, Metazoa, Chordata, Lepidosauria, Squamata, Lacertidae.